RNAcentral lists this transfer RNA (76 nucleotides) under Porphyromonas endodontalis ATCC 35406. RNAcentral's name for it is "tRNA-Gln". It matches the Rfam family "tRNA". From Rfam's summary of the family: Transfer RNA (tRNA) molecules are approximately 80 nucleotides in length. The record is from RNAcentral. Lineage: Bacteria; Pseudomonadati; Bacteroidota; Bacteroidia; Bacteroidales; Porphyromonadaceae.
UUGUCUCGUGGUGUAAUGGUAGCACAACAGGUUUUGGUUCUGUUUGUCAAGGUUCGAAUCCUUGCGAGACAACACA